UGGGGAAUAUUGGACAAUGGGCGAAAGCCUGAUCCAGCCAUGCCGCGUGUGUGAAGAAGGCCUUUUGGUUGUAAAGCACUUUAAGUGGGGAGGAAAAGCUUGUGGUUAAUACCCAUAAGCCCUGACGUUACCCACAGAAUAAGCACCGGCUAACUCUGUGCCAGCAGCCGCGGUAAUACAGAGGGUGCAAGCGUUAAUCGGAAUUACCGGGCGUAAAGCGCGCGUAGGUGGUUAUUUAAGUCAGAUGUGAAAGCCCCGGGCUUAACCUGGGAACUGCAUCUGAUACUGGAUAACUAGAGUAGGUGAGAGGGGAGUAGAAUUCCAGGUGUAGCGGUGAAAUGCGUAGAGAUCUGGAGGAAUACCGAUGGCGAAGGCAGCUCCCUGGCAUCAUACUGACACUGAGGUGCGAAAGCGUGGGUAGCAAACAGGAUUAGAUACCCUGGUAGUCCACGCCGUAAACGAUGUCUACCAGUCGUUGGGUCUUUUAAAGACUUAGUGACGCAGUUAACGCAAUAAGUAGACCGCCUGGGGAGUACGGCCGCAAGGUUA
This 549-nucleotide ribosomal RNA is filed under the name uncultured bacterium. RNAcentral's name for it is "bacterial SSU rRNA". It matches the Rfam family "Bacterial small subunit ribosomal RNA", at positions 355 to 896 of the family's 1533-position model. The record is from RNAcentral.